AGACAUUAAGCCCAUGUCCACCAGCUAACAGCAAAGUGAUGUAAGUCUGAGGCCCACAUUCCCUCCAAGAGGCUGGCUGCAGAUUCAGAGCUGCCUCUCCAAAGCCUCUGUGACCAGGUGACACAAGCACACCUGUCCUUGUCCCGUUGUGUCAGCACCAGUGGAGGAGCUUCUACAACUGACGUCAGGAGAGGUCUAACUAUCUGUAUACUAUUUACAGAGUGAAAGACGGGCACAUCACACGGAUCCGUCCCCAGGUGACUUCAGCCAUGCCCAGUUCAGCUGACGUCAUCAUGCUCCUGCCACCUCUCAUACUGUCCUCUCCAGGUCUUCCCUCGUCUUCGUCCUGGCUGUGGCUGCAGCUUGGUGGCUGAUGGUCGUCUCUGUGCUGCUGUGGCCCCAAGGUGUCAUAUUUUACCCUUCACUACAACACAUCCUUCCCCAAGUUAUAUUUUAUGGAACAUGUGGAUUAUUUAGUCCAGAAUUUUACAUAUUUGAAAAUUUUAUAUUGUUUCAGAUAAUUUGAUCUAAAAAUAAACUUCAAGCAAAUCCUU
Long non-coding RNA from Chelmon rostratus (copperband butterflyfish), 554 nucleotides. RefSeq lists it as uncharacterized. The record is from RefSeq and is a predicted model, not a curated record. Lineage: Eukaryota; Metazoa; Chordata; Actinopteri; Chaetodontiformes; Chaetodontidae. The transcript is spliced from 3 exons.